Molecule: long non-coding RNA, 446 nt
Filed under: Rattus norvegicus (Norway rat)
Lineage: Eukaryota; Metazoa; Chordata; Mammalia; Rodentia; Muridae
Description: long non-coding RNA NONRATT030009
Source: RNAcentral
CCAAGGUCCAGGAGAAAUGACUCACAAGACACUUUGGUGAAGGACCCUUCCAAAUCGGUGGUGGGGCGUCCUGCGGUGAGAUUUCUUCCACGUGCCCAGCUCCUUAAACUCGGCCCAUGUGGACAGGCUCCCACGUGAACGCGUCUUCUCAGAAGCCGCAGGAAGCCCUUCCACGUCACGCCACCCGACGCCUCGCCAGGCUGGGGAGUUCCGAAGACCCCCCAAGGGAGGAGCGAGGCGUGGAGCGGAUGCGGACCCCGCGGCGGGCCGGCCACUUCCCUCCGCUCCCAACCGCGCCCACGCCGCCCUACACCCUGGUGCCCGGGAACAAAGCCCGCGGCCGGGCCACGGUCGUCUCACGACCAGGGCUCGGGGACCGGUGGACUGCGCCACAGCUCCCGCGCGCUCCAUCGAGCCUUUUCGGUUGGCCCGGAGCUGAGCGGCCG